UACGUAGGGUGCGAGCGUUAAUCGGAAUUACUGGGCGUAAAGUGUGCGCAGGCGGCAGAGCAAGUCGAGUGUGAAAGCCCCGGGCUUAACUUGGGAAUUGCGCUCGAAACUACUUUGCUGGAGUGUGGCAGAGGAAGGUGGAAUUCCACGUGUAGCGGUGAAAUGCGUAGAGAUGUGGAGGAACGCCAAUGGCGAAGGCAGCCUUCUGGGCCAACACUGACGCUCAUGCACGAAAGCGUGGGGAGCAAACAGG
This 253-nucleotide ribosomal RNA is filed under the name uncultured bacterium. RNAcentral's name for it is "partial 16S ribosomal RNA". It matches the Rfam family "Bacterial small subunit ribosomal RNA", at positions 524 to 776 of the family's 1533-position model. The record is from RNAcentral.